This 207-nucleotide unclassified non-coding RNA is filed under the name Hevea brasiliensis (rubber tree). Lineage: Eukaryota; Viridiplantae; Streptophyta; Magnoliopsida; Malpighiales; Euphorbiaceae. The record is from RNAcentral.
UAUCAAGAGGGAUGAGUUUGAGCAGAUUAGUAUCCCUAUACUUGAGCGUGUGAAGAGGCCCUUGGAAAAGGCUCUUUUGGAUGCUGGGGUGACUGUAGAGAACAUUCACUCUGUGGAGGUUGUUGGCUCCGGGUCUCGUGUUCCAGCAAUUAUAAGGAUAUUGACUGAGUUUUUUGGGAAGGAGCCAAGGCGAACUAUGAAUGCCAG